Catharus ustulatus (Swainson's thrush) is the source of this 1173-nucleotide long non-coding RNA. RefSeq lists it as uncharacterized. Lineage: Eukaryota; Metazoa; Chordata; Aves; Passeriformes; Turdidae. The transcript has 3 exons. The record is from RefSeq and is a predicted model, not a curated record.
CGAGGACACCGUGCCAUCGCAACUUCUGCCCGCGCCUAUUCACCCCGCGCCGCCGCCUCUCCCCGCCCCGCCACGUGCGGACCCCGGGCGGCGUUUUCCCUGGAAACCGCUCGCGGUCGGCCCGCUUCCCGCCCUGCCCGGCCGGGCUGCGGCGGGGCGGAGAGCGGGGUAGCUCCCUCCUUCCCCCCGCAUCCCUCCGGCUACUCUGUCACUUGGGCAGCAUGAAGGCGGGAGCCGAGGGAGGAGCCUCCCUCCGCUCAGGGUCUCUUUGGUGGUCCCUGCUGGUCACUGACCCCAGACUCAUACCUGACCACCUGGUGAACUGGUAAAAAGUUGGCACAACUAGGCUGGUUGCUUUCCAUUCUUCUUCCUACAGAAUGCAGCAAUAUUAUCCUCUGUGAUCAUCCAGUUAAGCAGUCACAUUUGGAAUGUGCACGCAGCAAUUACUAUUGUUUCAAUUCAAGCAAGUACAUACUUCAUAUAACAGCCAUAGAUCUAAAGCCAAUCUAUUUUGUAUGGUCAUUUUAGCUGUAGCUUGCAACUGUUCAUUUAUUUCAGCAAACCCCAAGUGAGUUGCAUUUGCUAAGGUUUCCAUUUGUAGAGUCAAAUUGUUUAUGGCUAGUCUAUUCCUAAAGGCAGAUAAUUGAGGAGUAAAGAUAGAAUCUGAAGUCCAUCUCACUAUAAUAAUCUGCAUACUGGGAUGUUUCCAAGUUUCAUUAUGCUUAACUUCUCCCCAGAGCUGGGUUCCCAAUGGUGACUCGUUCCACAAGGGACAUAAUGUUAGUACUCCUAGUGUCCACUGUGCUCUUGAUUCUCCUACUGGUAAAUAUGCGGUCCAAAUUCCAUUACUUCGUACCUAUGCUGUGGGUCCUAAUGAUUUUAUGAUGUCCAGCAGACAGUCUGGAUCUCUCCAAGUCUCGUCGUUUGUUAGGUGAGACCAGUGUCAUUAAGAAAGGAGAAUAAUUUCUGCAAACACAUCCCAGCCUCACAGCUUGGGCCACAGACAUGAGCUGCUGUACCUCAGGAUUCCUACAAUGCAAGCAGGUAUUUGAGUGCAAUUCCACUUUUCCUUUCUAUUUCUCUAUUUCUCAAAGUGUUUCCUGAUAUUUUUAAUUCUAUUAUCUUAUCCUUUAAUUGUGGAGGUGCAAUUACCUGCCCACAUGAAGUUACCAA